This 877-nucleotide long non-coding RNA is filed under the name Homo sapiens (human). RNAcentral's name for it is "HSALNT0336554". Lineage: Eukaryota; Metazoa; Chordata; Mammalia; Primates; Hominidae. The record is from RNAcentral.
GGGAACUCCACCUACUGCCUGUUGACCAAGCAUUAAAUAUUUUGGAGGUUCAAAAGCCUCUGAGCUUGUCAUAAUGGGCUUGCUUUCAGACCUCAAAAUCCCAGUACACCCUGAAACUAUGAUGCAGACAUUCAGAGGCAGCAGCACAAGAUUGCAGUUUUGGAACACUGAGCAAAGAAUUACCCAUCUGGGAUAUCAUUCUCCUCCGGGAAAGGGUCUCCAAUCACCUCUCAUAAGGAGACAUGUCCUGCUGCCUCACUGCGGUGGCCUCAGGGGUAAGGAAUCAGAACCCACCCAGUGUGAAGAAUAAACCUGGACUCUCGGCAACACAGGAAGAAAAAGCCUACAGUACAGAUACCACGGCGACAAGGACUCAAGGCCUCCUAGCGAGAUUACAUCCUUGUCAAAGGUUGGAAAGAGGGAAAGCUCAAACCCACCUGGGAAGGACCUUACCUGGUACUCCUAACAACUGAAAUAGCACUCCGGAAAGCCGAAAAAGGGUGAACCCACCACACAAGUGAAGAAGGCCCCACCUCUGGCAAAGUCAUGGACCAUCACUCCAGGACCAACAGCCUCAAAACUAACAUUCAAACGGAUGGCCAACAGAUCGUCUUCAGCAUGCACUCCUCUGGAAUGUAUUUUAAAGCACUGGGACUCCUUCAACCCUGAGACUUUGAAAAAAAAGUGACUCAUAUUCUAUUGCACAAGAGCAUAGCCUUCUUACUAUCUUGGGGACAGAUAAACCUGGCCCGCUGCGGGGAGCCUUGAUUUUAAUAUUAUCCAACAGUUAGAUCUUUUCUCCAAACAGAAGGGCAAAUGGACUGAGAUCCCCUAUGUACAGACUUUCUUUGCCCUGUGAAACAGCCCAGACCUUUAC